Molecule: ribosomal RNA, 398 nt
Filed under: uncultured bacterium
Lineage: Bacteria
Description: bacterial SSU rRNA
Rfam family: Bacterial small subunit ribosomal RNA
Source: RNAcentral
AUUGAACGCUGGCGGCAUGCUUUACACAUGCAAGUCGAACGGUAACAGGGAGCUUGCUCCGCUGACGAGUGGCGAACGGGUGAGUAAUGCAUCGGAACGUACCGUGUAAUGGGGGAUAACGUAGCGAAAGUUACGCUAAUACCGCAUACGACCUACGGGUGAAAGUGGGGGACCUUCGGGCCUCACGCGAUGAGAUGAGCCGAUGCCGGAUUAGCUAGUUGGCGGGGUAAAGGCCCACCAAGGCGACGAUCCGUAGCUGGUCUGAGAGGAUGAUCAGCCACACUGGAACUGAGACACGGUCCAGACUCCUACGGGAGGCAGCAGUGGGGAAUAUUGGACAAUGGGGGGCAACCCUGAUCCAGCCAUGCCGCGUGUGUGAAGAAGGCCUUCGGUGUAAG